UGUCUACACUACAGGUCUGUCGUGCGUUUGUAAUCUGCUGACCCCCACAUGUUGUUCAGAGCCUAUGGAUAACACAGCUCCUAAAGCCAGUCGAUCGCCCAGUGCUAUCCCCCUGCCUGCUGGCUGGGCAGGGUAACUCCUCAGGUCACCACCACCCUCUCCAGCCUGCCUUGGCUUUGGGGAGUGAGGAGGAGGGCGAGGGACGAUACUGAACAUCCUCCAUCCAUCGCUCCGUCAGCAGAGCAAGGUGGCCAGGCUCCUGAGGAUGUUCAGGAAGAAGGCUCUGCAGGUGGCCCCAGAGCCUGAGGGAAGCAGCUGCCAUCUUCCCCGGGAGCAGAGCGGCCCCUCCGUCCCCACUGGCGGGGAAGGAGCUCCCGGCCAGGCCAGGAGGUGGAAGUGCCCAGUCUUCUGGCGGAGAAAACCCGCUCCCAGCGCAGGCGCCGAGGUGGGAGAGGCCAGGUCGA
Long non-coding RNA from Malaclemys terrapin pileata, 464 nucleotides. RefSeq lists it as uncharacterized. The record is from RefSeq and is a predicted model, not a curated record. Lineage: Eukaryota; Metazoa; Chordata; Testudines; Emydidae. The transcript has 3 exons.